UGGGGAAUAUUGCACAAUGGGCGCAAGCCUGAUGCAGCCAUGCCGCGUGUAUGAAGAAGGCCUUCGGGUUGUAAAGUACUUUCAGCGGGGAGGAAGGCGAUGCGGUUAAUAACCGCGUCGAUUGACGUUACCCGCAGAAGAAGCACCGGCUAACUCCGUGCCAGCAGCCGCGGUAAUACGGAGGGUGCAAGCGUUAAUGGGAAUUACUGGGCGUAAAGCGCACGCAGGCGGUCUGUCAAGUCGGAUGUGAAAUCCCCGGGCUCAACCUGGGAACUGCAUCCGAAACUGGCAGGCUUGAGUCUCGUAGAGGGGGGUAGAAUUCCAGGUGUAGCGGUGAAAUGCGUAGAGAUCUGGAGGAAUACCGGUGGCGAAGGCGGCCCCCUGGACGAAGACUGACGCUCAGGUGCGAAAGCGUGGGGAGCAAACA
RNAcentral lists this ribosomal RNA (427 nucleotides) under uncultured bacterium. RNAcentral describes it as "partial 16S ribosomal RNA". It matches the Rfam family "Bacterial small subunit ribosomal RNA", at positions 355 to 774 of the family's 1533-position model. The record is from RNAcentral.